ACCAGACUCCUACGGGAGGCAGCAGUGGGGGAUAUUGCACAAUGGGGGGAACCCUGAUGCAGCGACGCCGCGUGGGUGAAGAAGCGCCUCGGCGCGUAAAGCCCUGUCAGCAGGGAAGAAAAUGACGGUACCUGAAGAAGAAGCCCCGGCUAACUACGUGCCAGCAGCCGCGGUAAUACGUAGGGGGCAAGCGUUAUCCGGAUUUACUGGGUGUAAAGGGGGCGCAGACGGCGAUGCAAGCCAGGAGUGAAAGCCCGGGGCCCAACCCCGGGACUGCUCUUGGAACUGCGUGGCUGGAGUGCAGGAGGGGCAGGCGGAAUUCCUGGUGUAGCGGUGAAAUGCGUAGAUAUUAGGAGGAACACCAGUGGCGAAGGCGGCCUGCUGGACUGCAACUGACGUUGAGGCUCGAAGGCGUGGGGAGCAAACAGGAUUAGAUACCCGUGUAAU
RNAcentral lists this ribosomal RNA (447 nucleotides) under uncultured bacterium. RNAcentral describes it as "partial 16S ribosomal RNA". It matches the Rfam family "Bacterial small subunit ribosomal RNA", at positions 330 to 794 of the family's 1533-position model. The record is from RNAcentral.